Molecule: ribosomal RNA, 827 nt
Filed under: uncultured bacterium
Lineage: Bacteria
Description: bacterial SSU rRNA
Rfam family: Bacterial small subunit ribosomal RNA
Source: RNAcentral
AGAGUUUGAUCCUGGCUCAGGGUGAACGCUGGCGGCGUGCUUAAGACAUGCAAGUCGAACGCGGUCUUCGGACCGAGUGGCGCACGGGUGAGUAACACGUAACUGACCUACCCAGAAGUCAUGAAUAACUGGCCGAAAGGUCAGCUAAUACGUGAUGUGGUGAUUUGCCGUGGCAAAUCACUAAAGAUUUAUCGCUUCUGGAUGGGGUUGCGUUCCAUCAGCUGGUUGGUGGGGUAAAGGCCUACCAAGGCGACGACGGAUAGCCGGCCUGAGAGGGUGGCCGGCCACAGGGGCACUGAGACACGGGUCCCACUCCUACGGGAGGCAGCAGUUAGGAAUCUUCCACAAUGGGCGCAAGCCUGAUGGAGCGACGCCGCGUGAGGGAUGAAGGUUUUCGGAUCGUAAACCUCUGAAUCUGGGACGAAAGAGCCUUUAUGGCAGAUGACGGUACCAGAGUAAUAGCACCGGCUAACUCCGUGCCAGCAGCCGCGGUAAUACGGAGGGUGCAAGCGUUACCCGGAAUCACUGGGCGUAAAGGGCGUGUAGGCGGAUAUUUAAGUCUGGUUUUAAAGACUGGGGCUCAACCCCAGGAGUGGACUGGAUACUGGAUGUCUUGACCUCUGGAGAGGUAACUGGAAUUCCUGGUGUAGCGGUGGAAUGCGUAGAUACCAGGAGGAACACCAAUGGCGAAGGCAAGUUACUGGACAGAAGGUGACGCUGAGGCGCGAAAGUGUGGGGAGCAAACCGGAUUAGAUACCCGGGUAGUCCACACCCUAAACGAUGUACGUUGGCUAAGCGCAGGAUGCUGUGCUGGCGAAGCUAACGCG